Molecule: ribosomal RNA, 465 nt
Filed under: Vreelandella stevensii
Lineage: Bacteria; Pseudomonadati; Pseudomonadota; Gammaproteobacteria; Oceanospirillales; Halomonadaceae
Description: partial 16S ribosomal RNA
Rfam family: Bacterial small subunit ribosomal RNA
Source: RNAcentral
CCUACGGGAGGCAGCAGUGGGGAAUAUUGGACAAUGGGGGCAACCCUGAUCCAGCCAUGCCGCGUGUGUGAAGAAGGCCCUCGGGUUGUAAAGCACUUUCAGUGAGGAAGAACGCCUGGUGGUUAAUACCCAUCAGGAAAGACAUCACUCUCAGAAGAAGCACCGGCUAACUCCGUGCCAGCAGCCGCGGUAAUACGGAGGGUGCGAGCGUUAAUCGGAAUUACUGGGCGUAAAGCGCGCGUAGGUGGCUUGAUAAGCCGGUUGUGAAAGCCCCGGGCUCAACCUGGGAACGGCAUCCGGAACUGUCAAGCUAGAGUGCAGGAGAGGAAGGUAGAAUUCCCGGUGUAGCGGUGAAAUGCGUAGAGAUCGGGAGGAAUACCAGUGGCGAAGGCGGCCUUCUGGACUGACACUGACACUGAGGUGCGAAAGCGUGGGUAGCAAACAGGAUUAGAUACCCCAGUAGUC